AGUGAACGCUGGCGGUAGGCCUAACACAUGCAAGUCGAACGGCAGCACAGUAAGAGCUUGCUCUUACGGGAGGCGAGUGGCGGACGGGUGAGGAAUACAUCGGAAUCUACUUUUUCGUGGGGGAAAACGUAGGGAAACUUACGCUAAUACCGCAUACGACCUACGGGUGAAAGCAGGGGAUCUUCGGACCUUGCGCGAUUGAAUGACCCGAUGUCGGGUUAGCUAGUUGGCGGGGUAAAGGCCCACCAAGGCGACGAUCCGUAGCUGGUCUGAGAGGAUGAGCAGCCACAGUGGAAAGGAGACAAGUUCGGGACUCCUACGGGAGGCAGCAGUGGGGAAUAUUGCAGAAUGGGCGCAAGUCUUAUGCAGGAAUGCCGCGUGCAUAAAGAAGGCAUUGGGGUUGUAAAGUACUUUCAGCGGAGAGGAAGGGAGUAAAGUUAAUAACUUUGCGCACUGACGUUACCCGCAGAAGAGACGCCGGCUGACGCCGUG
This 492-nucleotide ribosomal RNA is filed under the name uncultured bacterium. RNAcentral's name for it is "partial 16S ribosomal RNA". It matches the Rfam family "Bacterial small subunit ribosomal RNA", at positions 29 to 507 of the family's 1533-position model. The record is from RNAcentral.